GAUGAACGCUGGCGGCGUGCCUAAUACAUGCAAGUCGAGCGAACGGACGAGAAGCUUGCUUCUCUGAUGUUAGCGGCGGACGGGUGAGUAACACGUGGAUAACCUACCUAUAAGACUGGGAUAACUUCGGGAAACCGGAGCUAAUACCGGAUAAUAUUUUGAACCGCAUGGUUCAAAAGUGAAAGACGGUCUUGCUGUCACUUAUAGAUGGAUCCGCGCUGCAUUAGCUAGUUGGUAAGGUAACGGCUUACCAAGGCAACGAUGCAUAGCCGACCUGAGAGGGUGAUCGGCCACACUGGAACUGAGACACGGUCCAGACUCCUACGGUAGGCAGCAGUAGGGAAUCGUCCGCAAUGGGCGAAAGCCUGACGGAGCAACGCCGCGUGAGUGAUGAAGGUCUUCGGAUCGUAAAACUCUGUUAUUAGGGAAGAACAUAUGUGUAAGUAACUGUGCACAUCUUGACGGUACCUAAUCAGAAAGCCAGGGCUAACUACGUG
RNAcentral lists this ribosomal RNA (497 nucleotides) under uncultured bacterium. Its description in RNAcentral is "partial 16S ribosomal RNA". It matches the Rfam family "Bacterial small subunit ribosomal RNA", at positions 28 to 507 of the family's 1533-position model. The record is from RNAcentral.